UACGUAGGGUGCAAGCGUUGUCCGGAAUUAUUGGGCGUAAAGAGCUCGUAGGCGGUUUGUUGCGUCGGCUGUGAAAUCCCGGGGCUUAACCCCGGGCGUGCAGUGGAUACGGGCUGGCUGGAGGCAGGCAGGGGAGAACGGAAUUCCCGGUGUAGCGGUGAAAUGCGCAGAUAUCGGGAGGAACACCGGUGGCGAAGGCGGUUCUCUGGGCCUGUACUGACGCUGAGGAGCGAAAGCGUGGGGAGCGAACAGG
RNAcentral lists this ribosomal RNA (253 nucleotides) under uncultured bacterium. RNAcentral describes it as "partial 16S ribosomal RNA". It matches the Rfam family "Bacterial small subunit ribosomal RNA", at positions 524 to 776 of the family's 1533-position model. The record is from RNAcentral.